AGAGUUUGAUCCUGGCUCAGAUUGAACGCUGGCGGCAUGCUUUACACAUGCAAGUCGAACGGCAGCACGGGGGCGAACCCUCGGUGGCGAGUGGCGAACGGGUGAGUAAUGCAUCGGAACGUAUCCUUGAGUGGGGGAGUAACNCAGACGUAAAGUUGUGCUAACUACCGCAUAAGCUCGUGGGGAGGGAGAGGCGGGGGACCGGAAACGGCCUCGCGCUGAAGGAGCGGCCGAUGUCCGAUUAGCUAGUUGGUGAGGUAAAGGCUCACCAAGGCGACGAUCGGUAGCUGGUCUGAGAGGAUGAUCAGCACACUGGGACUGAGACACGGCCCAGACUCCUACGGGAGGCGAC
This 352-nucleotide ribosomal RNA is filed under the name uncultured prokaryote. RNAcentral's name for it is "bacterial SSU rRNA". It matches the Rfam family "Bacterial small subunit ribosomal RNA", at positions 8 to 352 of the family's 1533-position model. The record is from RNAcentral.